AAAGAGGCACAACCAGCUUAAUGAAUCUUGGUGGUACCGAUACGAUGACCUAGACCAUUUUCUUAAUCUCGAUAAGACUGAUCUCAAACUCGGAAAUUGCGAUUCUUCAAAUCUUCUCAAUAGACAGUUGGUCACUGAAUCUUGGUGGCACCAAUGUGAAAGUUGGUGGUACCGAGAUGGUAGGGUUUGGCAUAGGUUCUAUCAAGUUGAAAAUCAAUAGGGCCGAG
This 227-nucleotide long non-coding RNA is filed under the name Hordeum vulgare. Its description in RNAcentral is "long non-coding RNA (HVUL_LNC015615)". Lineage: Eukaryota; Viridiplantae; Streptophyta; Magnoliopsida; Poales; Poaceae. The record is from RNAcentral.